UCAAACUUGGUCAUUUAGAGGAAGUAAAAGUUGUAACAAGGUUUCCAUAGGUGAACCUAUGGAAGGAUCAUUACAAUGAAUUUUCGGAACUUUUAAGUAUUCUUAAACCCCGAGCUGAGCACUUGUACUUGUUGCUUCCAUGGGAAGCGAGCUUCUCACUCGUAUCUGCUAUCAUUGUGGACCCAUGGCAGGUAUCAAUGAAAACCCUGCAUUUGUGGCAAUCGGUCUGAGUAUGUUUGAUAUCAACAUUGAAAACUUUCAACAACGGAUCUCUUGGAUCUCGCAUCGAUGAAGAACGCAGC
This 302-nucleotide unclassified non-coding RNA is filed under the name uncultured fungus. RNAcentral describes it as "partial contains small subunit ribosomal RNA, internal transcribed spacer 1, and 5.8S ribosomal RNA". The stretch from base 1 to 73 matches the Rfam family "Eukaryotic small subunit ribosomal RNA", at positions 1759 to 1831 of the family's 1831-position model. The record is from RNAcentral. Lineage: Eukaryota; Fungi.